AUGCAGCGACGCCGCGUGCGGGAUGAAGGCCUUCGGGUUGUAAACCGCUUUCAGCAGGGACGAGGCGAAAGUGACGGUACCUGCAGAAGAAGCCCCGGCUAACUACGUGCCAGCAGCCGCGGUAAUACGUAGGGGGCAAGCGUUAUCCGGAUUCAUUGGGCGUAAAGCGCGCGUAGGCUGCCCAGUAGGUCGAGAGUUAAAUCCGGGGGCUCAACCCCCGUCCGCUCCCGAUACCGCUGGGAUUCGAGUCUGGUAGGGGAAGGUGGAAUUCCCAGUGUAGCGGUGGAAUGCGCAGAUAUUGGGAAGAACACCGGUGGCGAAGGCGGCCUUCUGGGCCAUGACUGACGCUGAGGCGCGAAAGCUAGGGGAGCGAACAGGAUUAGAUACCCUGGUAGUCCUAGCCGUAAACGAUGGGCACUAGGUGUGGGGAGGCUUACUUUCCGUGCCACGCUAC
This 454-nucleotide ribosomal RNA is filed under the name Atopobium sp. oral taxon 416. RNAcentral's name for it is "bacterial SSU rRNA". It matches the Rfam family "Bacterial small subunit ribosomal RNA", at positions 386 to 855 of the family's 1533-position model. The record is from RNAcentral. Lineage: Bacteria; Bacillati; Actinomycetota; Coriobacteriia; Coriobacteriales; Atopobiaceae.